RNAcentral lists this ribosomal RNA (254 nucleotides) under uncultured bacterium. RNAcentral describes it as "partial 16S ribosomal RNA". It matches the Rfam family "Bacterial small subunit ribosomal RNA", at positions 524 to 776 of the family's 1533-position model. The record is from RNAcentral.
UACGGGGGGAGCAAGCGUUGUUCGGAUUUACUGGGCGUAAAGGGCGCGUAGGCGGUCGUGACAAGUCACUUGUGAAAUCUCCGGGCUUAACUCGGAACGGUCAAGUGAUACUGUCGGACUAGAGUACAGAAGGGGCAACUGGAAUUCUCGGUGUAGCGGUGAAAUGCGUGGAUAUCGAGAGGAACACCUGCGGCGAAGGCGGGUUGCUGGGCUGAUACUGACGCUGAGGCGCGAAAGCCAGGGGAGCGAACGGG